AGUGGGGAAUAUUGGACAAUGGACCAAAAGUCUGAUCCAGCAAUUUUGUGUGCACGAUGAAGGUCUUCGGAUUGUAAAGUGCUUUCAGUUGGGAAGAAGAAAGUGACGGUACCAACAGAAGAAGCGACGGCUAAAUACGUGCCAGCAGCCGCGGUAAUACGUAUGUCGCAAGCGUUAUCCGGAUUUAUUGGGCGUAAAGCGCGUCUAGGCGGUUUUGUAAGUCUGAUGUGAAAAUGCGGGGCUCAACUCCGUAUUGCGUUGGAAACUGCAGAACUAGAGUACUGGAGAGGUGGGCGGAACUACAAGUGUAGAGGUGAAAUUCGUAGAUAUUUGUAGGAAUGCCGAUGGAGAAGUCAGCUCACUGGACAGAUACUGACGUUGAAGCGCGAAAGCGUGGGGAGCAAA
This 405-nucleotide ribosomal RNA is filed under the name uncultured Cetobacterium sp. Its description in RNAcentral is "bacterial SSU rRNA". It matches the Rfam family "Bacterial small subunit ribosomal RNA", at positions 353 to 772 of the family's 1533-position model. Lineage: Bacteria; Fusobacteriati; Fusobacteriota; Fusobacteriia; Fusobacteriales; Fusobacteriaceae. The record is from RNAcentral.